UAUUGUUUUGUUUUAGUGAAAGAGGGAGACAGAGAGGUAAAAGGAGAGAGAGAAUUUAAGCAGACUCCAAGCCAAGCGUGGAGCCCGAAAGGAGAUUCAAAUCCACAACCCUGGGAUCAUGACCUGAGCCAAAAUCAAGGAUGUACCUUUCCGAAGUUAUAAAGUCAAUUUGAUUUUUCCUGAAUAAUCAUGUCACACCCUGAGGUGAUGAAAGAGGAUUCUAGGCCCCAGCUGCUUUCCUGUAUU
Long non-coding RNA from Felis catus (domestic cat), 246 nucleotides. RefSeq lists it as uncharacterized. Lineage: Eukaryota; Metazoa; Chordata; Mammalia; Carnivora; Felidae. The record is from RefSeq and is a predicted model, not a curated record. The transcript is spliced from 2 exons.